GCUCCGGUAGCCCAAUGGCAGAGGCAGCGCGCUCAAACCGCGCCCAGUGUGCGUUCGAAUCGCACCCGGAGCACCA
Molecule: transfer RNA, 76 nt
Filed under: Micromonospora sp. HM5-17
Lineage: Bacteria; Bacillati; Actinomycetota; Actinomycetes; Micromonosporales; Micromonosporaceae
Description: tRNA-Leu
Rfam family: tRNA
About the family: Transfer RNA (tRNA) molecules are approximately 80 nucleotides in length. Their secondary structure includes four short double-helical elements and three loops (D, anti-codon, and T loops).
Source: RNAcentral